RNAcentral lists this long non-coding RNA (11270 nucleotides) under Oryza brachyantha (malo sina). RNAcentral's name for it is "long non-coding RNA (OBRA_LNC001548)". The record is from RNAcentral. Lineage: Eukaryota; Viridiplantae; Streptophyta; Magnoliopsida; Poales; Poaceae.
CUUAGGCCGUCCACAGCGUGUGCCUGGAGUGCUGCCUAAAAGGAAAGAGAAGCUUUAGGCAUCGCUCUACACAUUGUGAUAUGUGAUGCUAGAAAAGAUGGGAGCAGAGCAUGUAUAUGCAUCGGCACUUAAAAAUUAAACAAUAAUAUAUUCACUGUAGAAAGGAGGAAGUGGAUUUUUUCAUCCUGUAAAGCAAACCAACAAGGACAAACGAUAACUAUAUUUUAUUUAUACAUAGGUCCCAUAUGAAUAGAUAGCUUUGAUGCUUAUUUUAUCUGUACACUGCAACCAUGAGAGACCGAUGCUCGUUAGCUGCAGUGGGUCCUACAAAAACCUUGGCUGCACUAGCACACUGUGGACAGCCUUACGGCUCUGUUUGAGGUUGUUUUUAGCGGCUACAGUUUCUCAUAAAAUCUUCCAAAGACAAAUUUUUUGAAACAAUGCUUAAUUUUUGAAAAUCAGUUGGUGUAGAAUCCAGAGAAUAAACGAGAAACUAGAAGCUACAAAACACAACUUUUUAAAUUCUAGGAUACUAGCUACCCACUAGUUGGUUCUUAAAAUUUUAAACUCCUUCAAACAGGCUUUAAGGUUGUGUUUGGUAUAUCCCCUGGCACAUAAAACGGAGACGAUGGAUUAGCGUGCAUUAAUUAAGUAUUAACUAUAGAAUACUUGAAAAUGGAUUAAUAUGAUUUUAAAACAAUUGUUUUGUAUAUUUUUUCACAAAACACACUAUUUAGUCCGUUUAAGAAGUAUAUGCACGAAAAACAAAUAGAAGUUAGGACCAUGUGAUUCCAAACAAAACCUAACAGCUUCAUCUUCUCUUUUGCUUAUGUUUAUAAACUAGAAUUUGAAUUUUUAGUCUUAAAUUUGAAGUUGAUUUUAGUGUUUUUACAUCGUAGUUUAUUUUUCAACAUUUGCUUUUAGAUGCUAUAAACACAUAUAUAAAAGUUGUAUCUACAAAUUAUUUCUCGUUUUCAAAAUAAGUUGUUCUAUUUUUUUUCUUUAAAAAGCCAAACGAUAACCACCUAAAUCAUUUAGAUGCAAACAUAGCAUUAGAAAACAUAUCAAGUAGACUAAGGACAACGCUGAGAACGCUCCCUUGGUCUGCUUCCAGGUAGCUCACACUAAAUUGCUAGUGUCCCUGCGCUGCUGCUGCUGCCUGCUUGGGCUGCUCUACUGCUGCUAGCUAUUGAAUGGCCCAAGGCCUGAUGCGCUAUCAUAGGCCAGGCCCAAGAGCCAACAGCCCACUAGCCUCUUUUUUCUUUUUUUUUCCUACAAUUAUUUUCUGGGGCUAACCAGGCACUUUAACUAGCCAAAAUAAAAUGCGACUCAAUGAAAUCUAUGGUAUCUGAAAAGACCACAGCAGACAGACUUUCCAAAAUAAAGAUCUCACGGCAAGACAUUUUUCUUCGAAUCAAAGAAGAGGUGGAUCAAAGAGAGCUAGAAAUUAAAAGCUGGUAAGCUUGAGUCGUCGUGAUGUAAUGUAAUCAGACGUUUCAUGCAUUAUCACCUGGCCUCCAGAUGGUGAAACUGGUAAGCUUGCCCUUGUUGUUUCACCAAAGAAUAAUUUUACUUCGUUAAGAACAUAUAGAAAGAUUGAUGUAAAGCUUAGGACCUUUAGGCAUUAUGUAAUUGGAGGUAUCAAAAUUUUUAAUUUUGGUAACUCUCGGUUCUUUCUCAAAAAUCAUAAAAUUCGUCCUCACCAGAAAAAAGGGUUUCUUUUCUAAACACAUGACAGCUAGCUAUAAAUACUGCAUGUGUAGCAUGUAUACUCCAACAUGGUGGAGUGGGAACUCGAGCACCCCCAUUUUUACUUCUUAUCUUUCUUAUAUAUGCUUAUAAGCUGAAUUUUGGAGUUGAUUUGUCUGCUUUGGCUUCUAGAUCACUAUGAUCAUAUAUAUAAAAGUUUUAGUCAUAAAUAUUUUUUUUUGCAAAUAUACCAUUUGUGUUUAUUUUUUAAAAAAACAAAAGAUGACCCCUGAGAUUGCCAAACACUGAGUAUAAUCACUGUUGGCCUCUAAAAGUGGUUUGGUAAUACCAAAUGAAAAUAUUUAACGAUAGACAAAAUAUCAAAAUCCAAAGUAUAUCAUUUCAUAUUACGAGAUAUCGUGGGACUUCGAUGCUUCAUAUUUUAUCUUGAUCCAAAUAAUUUAUAUCUAGAGUUGAGUAGUAGCUCUACCUCGACUACUUUUAGAAGAAUUCCACAUUCUAGCGCUUUAUUUUUAGAUCAAUCUCAAUAGGAGUUUUAUAGACAAUAAAUAGAGUGUCAUGUAGACAUUUUUGAUUAUGUGGCAAAGUAUUAAUGAAGAGAGAGAUAAAAUAAGUUUCAUGGAGAUUAAAAACCUUCUAUGCAUUGUUACCUAGACAGCUUGUGGCUUACAUAUAUGCUAGGAAAUAACAAUAGAUGAAACCAUGCAUUGAGAGAUAGGUGUUUUAUUCUAGUUUUAAACUUUUUAGAUGGCAUAUGACUCUAGAUAAUCGUGUCCAUGAAACUUACAUUGAGAAUAGCCUAAGAGGAGUUUACGUUCCCAAGGAGGAUUGUUUGGUUUAUUUAGAGAAAAAGUCAAGGCUAAAAGUCAAUGUUAAUUGCAAAUAAAAAAUAAAUGAUGGAUAGAACUUUUAUAUACGUGUUAUUAUUGAUCUAAUAAUCAAGGCUGAAAAAUAAACUAUAAUAAAAAUAAACCUAAAAUCUACUCUAAACUUAAAACUUAAUGUUAAAAAUUUAUAUUUUGAUAUAUAAGUAUAAACGGAAACGAAAAUAUGGUAACAUGGGAUGCAAACUGACAAACAUCACUUGAGAUACUAAAGGUCUACUAAACCUAACAUAGUCAAGCUAAAAACAAAAUUAAGCUUGAACAAUAUCCUCCCACUAAAGGCCUUUAUAAAAAUUAUAAGUUUGCACGGCCCAAAUUACAUUGAUGGGUCCUUUGAACCAUUAAUUUUGGUCCGUAUGAGCAUGGCAAGGAGUGUACCCGCAGUUACUUCGAUAGUGGCUGCUUUGAAGGUCGUCAAGGCUACCGCGUGAGACUAUUGAUUCCACUAUUUUCACGCUCCUACAUUUAACCACUGUUAUCUUCGUUUACAGGUCUCCGUCUCAAAUGAAAGCGCUAGUUUGCUAUGUCAAUGUCUCAACUAAUUUAAUAAGACAAUGAUGCUGAUCUUACCUCUUGGCUCUUGCUAAGCUGUGAAGAGCCCCGGAAGUUUGGUGGACAUUAGCAUGCACAAAAAACUGAUGGAAUGCUAAGGAGAAGCGAACUUCAUGAGAAUUUGGAGGAAAUAUUGCAUUAUUUCUUAGAAAAGCAACCGUUGUUCAUAAGGCCCUAACCCUAAUGAUAGUAAACGACUGUUAUUUAUGUUGAUAUCCACCCAAAAGCCAAGUAAUAUUACUUACAUGCUUAAAAACCCUAAUAAUGGCUAAACUUACGGCCCCUUUUUUUUUAAUUCUUACUUUCUUACUUAUGCUUAUGAGCUAUAAUUUGAAUUUUCAAACUUAAAAUUGGAGUAGGUUUUGGUAAUUUUGAUCAUAGUUUAUUUUUCGGCCUUAAUUUUAGAUCUAUAAAAAACACAUAUAAAAAUUUUAUUCAUAAAUUAUUUUCAUUUAUAAAUAUGUUGUUUGAUUUUUUUAUAAAAAAAUUUAGGGGCAUUUAACUUUUUGCCACUCUUGAAAAUGGCACCUAGCAUAUUUGCCACCUGCUGUCUAUGACAUGUUGGUUCUCAUAUGUCUAUGACAUGUUGGCCCAAUGACAAUUAUGUUAGCACCCUUUCUAAGAGCAGAAAAACUAGCCUAUGGUAUCACAUACGAACGGGAUAGCUAAUGAUUAAUUUGCUCCUCCGCACAGCAUGCCUCGUCCACGCCACGCGCCUCCAUGCUGUCUGCCUUGCCGCGCGUCUCCAUGCUGUCUACCUCGCCACCGUCCUCGAGUACCUCGCCGCCGAGGUUUGGCCCACGCACUUGUCGCAUGCACACUCAUGCCCCCACCGCUGAGUACCCCGAGUUGAUUCGGAUUGCCUGCCCAUUCUCUUCUAUUCCUUCCUCCAAGUGCUCGAGCUCACUGGGAACGCAGCACAUGCUGCUGGCGAUCCGUAACGACGAGGAGCUCGAUAUCACGAUAUGAUACCUGUUGAUACUAAAUGGUAUCAUGUGAUACCACUUAUUAACAUAUGAUACAUAUUGAUACUAUCUAGUGAUACAUGUUGAUACCUUCUGAUACCAUACGAUACCACUUAGAACCUAGUGGGUUGAUACCUGUUGAUAACUUCUAGCAUCUUUUGGUAUCAUAUGAGUUACGUUGAUACUAAUCAGUAUCAUCCAGGUUUUCAUAUGAAAAUCAAACGAUACAUAUCGAUACUUAUUGAUACCUAUUGACAUACUGAUACAUACUGACAUCAUAUGAUACCACUUAGAAUCAUAUGGUACCGAUUGAUACCACCUAGUACCAUGUGAUACAUGUAUCUUUUCGAGCUUUCCUUGUCGCACAACGCUAUGAUACCAGAUAAUACCAACUGGUAUCGUACCAGUGGUAUCAUCUGGUACCAACUACGCACUGGUACGUAAGGUGCAUCUAAGCGCGAAGAUGGUGGAGGCGUGCGACACGCUGCGGCAAGUGCGCGGCGUGGCGGCACACAGCGCGACGUCGGCGGAGGCGUGCAGACGAUAGUGGAGGCGGCGACAUCCAGCGAUGGUGGAGGCGGCGCGGACGCGGCCGAUGGCGAAGGCAGCGAUGGUGGACGUGGGCGACGGCAUGCAGGGACGUGUGGGAGGCGGCGCGGAUGCGGAGCAGUGAAGUGAGGAAGUGCGGCGCCGCGACACGGAGAAGGCUUGUGCGGCGUCGCGACACGGAGAAGGCUUGUGCGGCGCGCGUCGGCACAUGCGACGUGGAGUCGUGGAGGAGGCACGCAUGGCAUGUCAGUGCGGUGAUGUGCGGCUUAUCUAUUUCAACCACAGGAUAUUCACUAGAUAUAUGUUACGUUAAUUAUACCAUUCGUACGAUAUACCGUACUCUAGUACUUUUCUUCUAAAAGUGACAAAAAGUUAAUUAUUCAAUCACCGAUGACCAGUCCAUUGAACAUGGACGAGCCUGAAAGUUUAUAAAGAGACAGUCGGUCAACUGGGCAAUUACGUCCAAGGCGGUGCUAACACGAAAGAGGCAGCAGGAGCAGCACCUACAGCUAGAGAUAAUCUCGGCGGUGGGCGGCGGGGCCCGGCUGCAGGGCGUGGCCGCUGUCGGCCGCUCCGCCGCAGAGGUCAGGUCCGUGUCCGAGCAAGAGACUAGCCGUGUGUGAGGUCAGAGGGGAUCCGGAUCCAGCAAGCAAGCGAUGCCAUUUCCGAGCCGAACCCGACCGGAAACAGUGUUCCCCCAAAGCCCACUCGCCGACUCGCUGCUCAUCACUCGCCCUCCCAGGUUUCCAAGCCAUCCCCCACCACCAUCACUUCACCCUCUCCCUCCCUUCCCUCCUCUUCCCCCCACCCAAACCCAAAGGAGCUUAACGGCAGCUGCUGCUGCGUGCGGCUACAGCCUACAGCGAGCGAGAGCGAGACGCUGGUUGGUCAGCCGAGCAACUUUGCGAGGUCGCUUUCGGCUCUCUCGGCCUCGGCCCCGGACAGGCAUGUCCUGAUGGAAUUCAGGGGCCAUGAGGAACCCGUCGACGAGAUGGGCGUCGCGUACGGCAGGGCGCCACCCUCCCCCGCGGCCGCGGAGGUGAGGUACCACGAGUGCCUGCGGAACCACGCCGCGGCGAUGGGCGGCCACGNNNNNNNNNNNNNNNNNNNNNNNNNNNNNNNNNNNNNNNNNNNNNNNNNNNNNNNNNNNNNNNNNNNNNNNNNNNNNNNNNNNNNNNNNNNNNNNNNNNNNNNNNNNNNNNNNNNNNNNNNNNNNNNNNNNNNNNNNNNNNNNNNNNNNNNNNNNNNNNNNNNNNNNNNNNNNNNNNNNNNNNNNNNNNNNNNNNNNNNNNNNNNNNNNNNNNNNNNNNNNNNNNNNNNNNNNNNNNNNNNNNNNNNNNNNNNNNNNNNNNNNNNNNNNNNNNNNNNNNNNNNNNNNNNNNNNNNNNNNNNNNNNNNNNNNNNNNNNNNNNNNNNNNNNNNNNNNNNNNNNCAGGGGCAGCGGAAGCGGUUCCGGACCAAGUUCACGCCGGAGCAGAAGGAGCAGAUGCUGGCGUUCGCGGAGCGGGUGGGGUGGCGGAUGCAGAAGCAGGACGAGGCGCUGGUCGAGCAGUUCUGCGCGCAGGUCGGCGUGCGGCGGCAGGUGUUCAAGGUGUGGAUGCACAACAACAAGAGCAGCAGCGGCAGCGGCAGUAGGAGGCAGCCGCUGGAGCAACAGUCCCAACAGCAGCAGCAGCAGCAGCAACCGCAGUAGCCAUGGGAGGAGACAAGCAUUUGGUUUGGUUAAUCCCCACCUCAUUAUUUUUAUAAGCCCAAGACAGGAGGGGGUUAAUUAAACAUCCGGAAGUGAGGACUACUCUCUGCGAUCUCUAUCCUCUCUCUCUCUCUCUCGUUUGGCCUUAACCUUCAUUCUUUCAGUCCUCCUGCUUACUUUGGUUCAUGAUUCUAGCCUGGUUCAUUUUGAUUCCUUUUGCAUCCUAGUUAAGGGUUUACUUUGAUCGCAAAAAGAAAAGGUUGAGGGUUUACCUGGAUGAUGAGGUAAGUUCUUCAUCACCUCUUCGAUGUGAUGCUUGCAUUGCUUCUCAUUAUUUCACCUCGUGAGCUCUCUGCACAGAGAGAUAGCAAUAAGGUUUAGGUUAGCCACUGUUAUUUCUGUCCGCAACUGCUUCCUCGUUGCUCAAGUAAUGUGCUGUAUACAUUUGCCUCUCCCUUUCAAAACUCAAUGCGACAUUUUCAAAGUUGAAGCUUAAAACAACAUCAAACUAAUAAUCAAAAUGAUAGUAUGAAGUUCUGGAACUUACUUUCUGAUUAAUUAAGAGAACAGCAACCAAUAUAAGUGGCUAAAAUACUCUAGUGAGGACAUGAGGUAACACCGAGAGCAUGGAUCAAGUCAUUGACUGAAAUAUACUUCAUUUGUUUCUAAAAUGUAAGCAUUUCUAUGAUUACGAUUCAACAUUAUUUAUAGUAUACUUAUCUCAUCGAUCACUUUCUGUUUAUUUUUUUCUAUUUUAUUUUACCUCACAUUCCCUCCUACCACAUCCAUUCUUUAUUCUUUAUUUAUUAAGUGACAUUAUCGUCUUUUCUUAUUGACCUUAAUCCUUGUAAACCAACCUAGAAAUACUUAACGUUUUGGGAUGGAAGCAAGAAAUACUUAAACGUUUUGGGAUGGAAGCAGCAGAAAUGAAUUGCACUCGGAUGUGGCUUCUUGUGAUCUACCACAAAAGAAUUUUCAGCUUGUAUUGUACUGUUCCCAAACAUUCAAGUGCUCAUUCUUGAUUAUUUAUUAGCCAUUUAAUUGAAGGUGUACUUGGUUGUUGCUGUUGCUAAGCUUGAGUUGUACUUUGCUCUAGAUGCAACACAUUACUGCUAUUAAGUUAAAGAGUCCUUUUUCAAACCUGAAUCCUUUAAUGGAGAGCUGGAGUUUGAAAUUAGCAGGGUGGAAAUGGUUGGCCACAUGACCUUUCCUUCUACCUUCCAGAGGUAGAGAUAUCACAGGAGUUUUGGUUCCAUGAAAUUGUGAGGUCCAUGGUGCAAGUGAGAAGAGGCAGAUAAGGAUGUAAUGAAUGCCCUCCAAGAAAAUUGCAUAACAAGAAAUAGGAGAUAAUGAGAAGAUUUUGUGGUUUCUUUUGGUGCCCUUGUUUUGGAGGUUUAUCAGUUUCUAAAUACGCAUAAUUUUGCCGUACUGGCACACCACUUUUUUCUUUUACUUUUGCUUAUAAGCAAAAAAUUUAAAUUUUUAACAUUAAAUUUAGAGUUGAUUUUAUGAUUUUUUAUUAUAGUUUAUUUUUAGUCUUAGUUUUUAGAUCGCUAAAAAUAUGUAUAUAAAAGUUUUAUUUAUAAAAUUAUUUUUUAUUUCUAAAUAUACUGUUCCAAUCAAUCGCAUGAUGCGACCAUACAGCAGUAUUUACUAAGCAAGAGAUCACAAUGCAUGCCCUUGCUAGCCUUAUCUACAAUUUCUAUUGAUUAUUACCGUGCACAACUAUUACUGAUUAAUAUCAACUGCCGUCCACCAACCUGCAGCUACGUUAACUAAAGAGAGUAGUACAUUGGCACAUUGCUAUGAGCAGUAGAGUUAACUCUUACAGCAACAAAAUAGGCAGUAAGCAAAGUUCGCUGAAAUGUCGUCCUACUAAAUAUAGGAACGAACUUAUAAAUAGUCCAAGUGCAAAUAGGCGAUCUAGUUGCAAUCUCAUACUAGUAACUUACAGCGCGACAAUUAGGUAAUCCAGUUAGGAAUUUAAAACUUAAAACAUGGGCUAGGACAUAUUAAUUGAUGAAACUAAAUCAUCUGCUAUCCAGAAUUCCAAUAUUACAUGUUAUCUCUCUACAAAAGCAGGAUUGAAACAUAUAGCGACCAAUGUGCACGUAAGAGAGGAACUGACCUUGAUUGUUUUCAUAUUGCCAUUAUGCGUGGAGCCGUGGUGUCAUUGCUUCCUUUGAUCUGGAUGGGUUUGUCACAUUGGCCACGUUAAGAGCCAACUUGUUGAAGUCGAUUUGUUCCGCCAAAAAUCAGGUAGUCAAUGUACAAAUGUUGUUGUGACAGAAGAAACAGUGGUACGCUGAUAACAACUGUGACCAAAAAAAAAAACAGAAGGAAUUUGAAAGCUCACGCCUAAAAAUCUACAUUCAAUUUUGUACGAGGGAAAAAAAAGGAGGCAGAGCAAAAAAGUUUGAUGGCUCGUAUUUACAACGAAAACAUAAACAGCUAAACACAACCAAGGUUUGAUGGCAACAAAUCGAACCGGAGAGGAAGGAAUACAUUGCUCGUGCUGAGAUAUUUUGAGUAUUAUAGUAGCGCUAGCUUAUUUUAGAGCAGGUACAACAGCUGGCUUAGCCAGCUGUAAAUAUAUUUUAAAGAGAUAAGAUGGAAGAGAUAAGAGAGGUGGGCUACUAAUUUAUAGCCAGCUGUACACGGACUCCAAUACAAAAUAUGUAUAUGACAUGUGGAACCAUGUAUUAAUGUUUUUUAGCUAGCUAUUAUAUAAAUUAGCUAUUUGAUUGACUAUAGAUGAAUUGAAGCUAGUAAUUGGCUAUACUAUUAAAACUUGCUCUUAGGUGCAUGGCAAGCAUGGAGUGAUUGCGGUGCGCUGCAGCAAAUGUUGAACUUUAGCCCAUCAUGUUGCCACUGAUUGAUCAGUCUUAUCAGUUCUGAUUGUUUUGUCUUUUCAUAUGCAUUUCUGACAGGCGUUAUUAUGACUCGAGAAACACUAUUGGAGAAUCAACACUACUGCCGUGGUGACCUGUGAUUUUCUGGAGGGUUGUUCCCUGCCUUCUCUGUGAGGUUCCCUUCCAUCAGCUCAAGACAAACCUGUUGUCUGAGAGGAAGACCUAAAAGUGCGACGAAUGUAAAGCAAUCCUAAUUACUCUAAUCACCCAAAAGUAUCACCGAAUGUGAAACAUGCAAGUAAAUUUUGUUAAAGCACAGACGAUUGAUUCAAAGCAAAUGCCGCCCACGAACAACAAAAGGCGGUACUUGCUCAGUUGCUCUUAGUACUAAGAAAAACGAGCAUUUAGCUCUGACGAGUGAAUCGUGAAUUAGUUCAACUUAGUCCUCCACCAAUUCAACGAUAUUGCAAUUUCAAGAAAGAAACAAUAUAGUGUAGAGUAGAUCAGUAGAGCCUUAUGUUUCUCCUUUUCUGGAGAAAAGCAAUAACGAGAAUAAAAGUGUGAAACAGAUAAAGAGAGUUGCACUAUUAGAUUGAAAUGCUUAGAUAUAUUUGAAGAUAAUAUUCCAAGAUGGUAAUUAAAAAUGCAAAUACCAAAGAUCGGCAAUCAGGUAUCUGCUUACGUCGUGUUAGUUGGCGUCAAGCAUGACUCAUAAAACGCUAACCACCAAUCAUGUGGCUCCAAGUCCCUAAGCAACGUGGAGGCUGAUCAAAUCCAAUAGUGCCCAAACUUUUAAUCUUCAAAAAUUUAUAGCGACUACCAAUUCAAUCCUCCCCAGGUUUAAACUAAUCCCGUCUACACAAGCAUAUCUAGUUAGUAGUAAAUCUUAAAUCUUCAUGUCUGAAAAGGUUCGAGCUUAAUUGGAUCUUAGCUAUUUAUAGAAGCAGAGUGGACCCGAAUCAUGCAGAGUCAGUUACGCAAGCAACUAACCACUCAACAGAGCGAAGCUUAAGCAAUUAUCAACAAUAGACUAAUGCUAAUGCAAAGUGAUCAGUACUACCUUGAGGUACUAAUGAUCUUGAUUGCAGUUCUUAAUUAAACUUCCAGCCAAUCGUGGGUCACCGUGGACCAUUUGCUUACUAAGCUCCCGCAUUAGGGGCGUGCCCGACAUGAGGGCGCUAUCGUACUACAGUGGCAGACCAUGUGGUUGAGCCCUAGCCGAAAACAGCUGCUUUGUUAAUUCCUCCCACCUGCUAAGUCCCACGUCACGUACAGUAACAUGGUGUUUAGGGUCCGAUUUUGCUGCUAUUUGUCAGUUGUCAGUAUCUUAAGUCAGGAUGCAUGAUCAAAGUUUUCUCGCAUCGCACAGGAGUUUUUUUUGUGUGAGACCAAUGUCAGAAUGGAACGUGCCCGGCAGGUGGGGGGAGAUGAUCAAAUUUGUGCUUUCUUUCGAUGGGUCAAGUCCUGGAAGCAGGAAACAGUGGUUUACACUGCAGUAGGUCCAUGGCUUCAUAGUUUCAUGCAACGGCCACGUUGUACAGAGUAAUAUUAGGUUUGGCUAAGUUUAGUAGAACUGCUAUAAAAGUUGCACCAUGACAACGCUUAGGUGAAGAUAGUCCAGAACGCAACGAUUAUGGCGUCAUUUGAUAGUAGCUUAGAUUUUGUUAAUGCUUAAUUGUGUACCCCGCUAAAUCAGCAUAAGUUAUGCACCUGGAAAUUCAUGCCGACCUUAGGUUCUAAAUCCAGUACCAAAAAAGAUGCGAAAAAGGGAAAAAUAAAGGGCGCUUGACAGGGACGUGACAAAAGAAAACAGCCAUCAGAUAAAGAAACGGCAAUAACUGGAAAAGGUGCAGUCGCACGGAGAAAUGACCGUGAAAAGCAUUGCAAUUUGGAAUAUCUCAAGUUUGACAUAUCUUUAUCUGCAAUUUUCUCUUCUAAAUCAAUGAAAUGUUAAAGCAACCGAGGGCAUUGUAUAAAAUCGUAUGACAGCAGGUACCUGCAUAAUAUGGGGGAAAAGGUCCUCAUCUUCAAAAUUUUGUGGUUGGUAGGACUAAUCUCCUCAGCA